RNAcentral lists this ribosomal RNA (449 nucleotides) under uncultured bacterium. RNAcentral describes it as "partial 16S ribosomal RNA". It matches the Rfam family "Bacterial small subunit ribosomal RNA", at positions 354 to 796 of the family's 1533-position model. The record is from RNAcentral.
GUAGGGAAUCUUCCACAAUGGACGAAAGUCUGAUGGAGCAACGCCGCGUGAGUGAAGAAGGUCUUCGGAUCGUAAAACUCUGUUGUUAGAGAAGAACGUGCAUGAUAGUAACUGAUCAUGUAAUGACGGUAUCUAACCAGAAAGCCACGGCUAACUACGUGCCAGCAGCCGCGGUAAUACGUAGGUGGCAAGCGUUGUCCGGAAUUAUUGGGCGUAAAGAGCAUGUAGGCGGGAAUCUAAGUCUGUUGUUAAAAUGCGGGGCUCAACCCCGUAUUGCGAUGGAAACUGGGUUUCUUGAGUGCAGGAGAGGAAAGGGGAAUUCCCAGUGUAGCGGUGAAAUGCGUAGAUAUUAGGAGGAACACCAGUGGCGAAGGCGGCUUACUGGACUGUAACUGACGUUGAGGCUCGAAAGCGUGGGGAGCAAACAGGAUUAGAUACCCCUGUAGUCC